RNAcentral lists this small RNA (273 nucleotides) under Leclercia adecarboxylata. RNAcentral describes it as "5' ureB small RNA". It matches the Rfam family "5' ureB small RNA". The record is from RNAcentral. Lineage: Bacteria; Pseudomonadati; Pseudomonadota; Gammaproteobacteria; Enterobacterales; Enterobacteriaceae.
CUGCUGCGGGCAGAUCCAGUGGAUAUGGGUAUCGACCCCGCCUGCGGUAACGAUCUUGCCUUCGGCGGCGAUCACCUCGGUGGCCGCGCCAAUCGGGAUGGUUACGCCGGGCUGAAUAUCCGGGUUACCGGCUUUGCCCACGGCGACGAUCCGGCCGUCCUUCACGCCGAUAUCGGCUUUGACGAUCCCCCAGUGAUCGACGAUUAGCGCGUUGGUCAGCACCAGAUCCACGCACUCCUGCGCCGUCAUCUGCCCCUGGCCCAUGCCGUCGCG